This 73-nucleotide transfer RNA is filed under the name Cordylochernes scorpioides. Its description in RNAcentral is "tRNA-Thr". The record is from RNAcentral. Lineage: Eukaryota; Metazoa; Arthropoda; Arachnida; Pseudoscorpiones; Chernetidae.
GUCCAGGGAUGGGGAUCGAACCCACAGUGUUCCGCUUACCGGGUAGAUGCCAUGUUCGAUAGGCUACCCUGGA